GUCCAAUCAAAUGGGUUUUAGAAAAAAUAUUUGUGGGCAAAUAUUUUUUUUCUUCUUUAAAAGUGUGUUUAUAUUGUAACAUACCUUUAAUAAAUUGAGCUUUGCUAUCUUCUAUUAUUUCCCAUUUUUUUGCCAUUUUAGAUCCAGCUGUAUCUGUGAGAGCACUUACAUUUGUUGGUAAUUCUGCUACUAUUUUUGCCACUCACUGUUUAUACAGCAUUCAUAAAGACUGGUCUAUUGUGUCUUACUAUUGUUUUGAUUACAUUUUCUUCCUGCCCCAGUGAAUCACUUCCUUAAGUUUUAAGAAAAUGUUUUG
Pelobates cultripes (western spadefoot toad) is the source of this 316-nucleotide non-coding RNA. The record is from the annotation of a GenBank genome assembly. NCBI's taxonomy places the organism in Eukaryota, Metazoa, Chordata, Amphibia, Anura, Pelobatidae.